RNAcentral lists this ribosomal RNA (372 nucleotides) under uncultured organism. RNAcentral describes it as "partial 16S ribosomal RNA". It matches the Rfam family "Bacterial small subunit ribosomal RNA", at positions 527 to 896 of the family's 1533-position model. The record is from RNAcentral.
GUAGGUGGCAAGCGUUGUCCGGAAUUAUUGGGCGUAAAGCGCGCGCAGGCGGUCCUUUAAGUCUGAUGUGAAAGCCCACGGCUCAACCGUGGAGGGUCAUUGGAAACUGGGGGACUUGAGUACAGAAGAGGAAAGCGGAAUUCCAAGUGUAGCGGUGAAAUGCGUAGAGAUUUGGAGGAACACCAGUGGCGAAGGCGGCUUUCUGGUCUGUAACUGACGCUGAGGCGCGAAAGCGUGGGGAGCAAACAGGGAUUAGAUACCCUGGUAGUCCACGCCGUAAACGAUGAGUGCUAAGUGUUAGGGGAUUUCCGCCCCCUUAGUGCUGCAGCUAACGCAUUAAGCACUCCGCCUGGGGAUACGGCCGCAAGGCUG